CCUGACUCUUUCUCCAUGUCUCCAAGGCUGACUGUGGUUUGUGCAAGAAUAAACUGCCUGAGCCUUCGCUGACAUCUGAGGCCUUGACUCGUAAGAUGCUGCCGUGAGCCCUAGGUCCUCCUCUCUGGGCUCUGCAUCGCUGCAGAGUGAGCACGAGCUCACUGGGAAAGGGCACCUUCCCGGCGGGUUCUUCAUUCUUUCCAGGGAAGGCACAGGGCCACCUUCGCUCCCAGAUCCAGAUCCACCAGGGACUGACUCCCGUGUGUCUGUGGAUGAACACUACACCAUUUGCUCCAUUUUCUGAGAAUUUCUCAGUGGAUGCUUUAAAAACCAAGGAUGAAUUCAGCAUCUCUAUUUUAUGUGGAAGCUGUUCUCAGCAUCAUUUGUUUUCUUACUUGGGUGGAAAAGAUAGCUGGGUAGGUGUUUUCCUCCCAGGGCCUUCUGAAGAGUUUAAAAACAGAGACUUUGGGUGUUGAAUGAAAGGUCCCUAUUCUUUCCUAAAAUACUCACAGAAUCCCAUGACUAAUAUAUAAAUAAAGAUUGUUGUAUUAGUCACCCAACAAUGAAAGAAGAAAUCCUCCCACUUCUCAAAUGCUUCCUUUCAGAGUAACCUCAAUGACCUGACUGAUUCAUGGAACUAAUUUGUAACAAUAAUAAAGAUGAAGCGGGACCCCAGACAAGCUUUCAGAACUCCUCCAAAGACCCUCACUGCCUCAUCCCGCUCUCCCGUUCCUCGGCCUGCAGCUGAUGCCUUUGAGGAAGCCCCUGUUUGUACUGACAGUGGCCCAGAAACCUCUUCCCCUUGCUCAGACAAUUGCCCAUGUGGCCGCUGCCAACUUGGGGCUUCCUGGACUUCACAAACUCAGGAGGUCUGAGCUCAGUGACACCCUGCAUCGCCCCUGCUCCCUGGGCUCCUGCCCUGAACCACAGCUCCCUGCUUGAUGAAGAAGGGUCAGCCACCUCAAGGUUCACUUCCGGGCAGAGGCCACAUCUGUUAGGAAAGAAAAUAGAUGAAAAGCAUAGUUAGCAAGUGCCUGCUGUUGGCCAGGCACCGAGCUAGGAGGUGUCUUAUUCCUGUGUCAUCUUAUUUCAUCAUGUAAAUGGCCCUGUGAGGCAGAGAUGGUUGUUUGAAUUAUACAGAAGGAGAAACACAGAGUCAGAAAGAUGAAGAAACUUGCUGAAGAUUGUAUUGUGUUCCAGUGGUCUCCAAACUGGGGUAGGUCCACUCUAGUGAAGGUCCCUGGUUAAUUCCUGCUGAUUAAGCACUAACCACAUGAGACUCAUCCAGCUGGCCAGUUUCCAGAUGAAACUGUGGUGGGUAAAUUCUUUGGAAAAGAAAAUGGAGUCCAUUUCCACAUGACCACAGUAAGUCUCUGUUAAUUAAUGACUGAAAAUAGCUCUGUAUGUUCACAUAGGAUCCAAAUUUGCUUCAAUAAUUAUUCAAAUAUGGAACUAGGAGUUUCAGCUACAGAAUACAAUCUCUCAGCAUUUGGAAUAUAGACAUCUUAUCUGGCCUUCCACAAAACUCCAGUGAAAACACAAACACAAACAUCACUCAAGUUUCCACACCUUUAGUCCCAGUUAUUCAGGAAGCUGAGGUGGGAGGAUCGCUUGAGCCUGGGAGUUAAAGGCUGCAGAGAACUAUGGUCAUGCCACUGCACUUCAGCCUGGGUGACAGAGCGAGACCCAGAG
Molecule: long non-coding RNA, 1692 nt
Filed under: Homo sapiens (human)
Lineage: Eukaryota; Metazoa; Chordata; Mammalia; Primates; Hominidae
Description: HSALNT0115955
Source: RNAcentral